UCCAUUAAAGAUGAUAAUGAUGAAACUCAAAAAUCUUAGGACACCUUCUGACACAGUUUUACGCUGUGCAUGAGAAUAAGAUUUUCGUUUCUGAUAUUCGA
This is a non-coding RNA of Jatropha curcas, 101 nucleotides long. The record is from Rfam. Lineage: Eukaryota; Viridiplantae; Streptophyta; Magnoliopsida; Malpighiales; Euphorbiaceae.